AGCAAUAUUUGUCGCUUCCUCACCCCUAUGCCACCUCUGAAGCAUAUCUUCAAGCUGCUCAAAAUUAGUGAUAAGGAGAAGCCAAGGCCACCUAAGCUGAGCUCAUUGAUAGACCUCCCUUGAUUAUGGACAUAACAUGAAGAGAUGGUCCUUAUCCUUAGAAGACGUACGAUUGCAGGGGCAGCUAGCAUCACCAAGACAUCUAGGACUCAACUUCAAUCAUGUAGGCAAAGGUCACCAGCACAUGAAUGCUUUUAAAAGAAAGAAAUAGAAGUAUUUAGACAUAAAGAAACUAUGUCCAUUAUGAAUCAUGAUGCAAUACUUUUAUGUAUCAGGUAUAUGUGCAAUUAUUAAACUUUAUGACUUGAUUCACCUUAAAUGACCAAGUUCUUUUACAUAUCCAGAGUGCGCUCAAAACUUUAAAUGCUAAUCUUGCUCUUCCUCUUCACCCUUUUUCUAAAAAAGCUAUUUCUACCUUUAUUGCUCUUCCUUUCUUUUGCUCCUUGGUGCCAUAUGAAUUUGAGUCCAAAUUGGCCUAAUCUCUUAUACCAUUUUUUCAAGUUCAUCACACCCUCACCUUUUACCAUCAUUCUUCCAAAACCACAGCCAAUAUACAAUCUCUUCUCUUAUUCCUCUUUUCUCCUUUGUGGCCUCAUGAUCUCCUCUUCAUGCAUACAACAGUUUCAAUUUAAGGUUUGC
RNAcentral lists this long non-coding RNA (699 nucleotides) under Phoenix dactylifera (date palm). Its description in RNAcentral is "long non-coding RNA (PDAC_LNC018464)". The record is from RNAcentral. Lineage: Eukaryota; Viridiplantae; Streptophyta; Magnoliopsida; Arecales; Arecaceae.